Molecule: long non-coding RNA, 928 nt
Filed under: Capsicum annuum
Lineage: Eukaryota; Viridiplantae; Streptophyta; Magnoliopsida; Solanales; Solanaceae
Description: long non-coding RNA (CANN_LNC007115)
Source: RNAcentral
CACCCUUCACAGUACUUUGUUUGAAGAUGAGGGAUAAACCACCCUUCACAGUUCUUCAUUUUCAGGAUAAGGGGUAGACCGCCCUUAAUAUACUUGGCUAAUCUAAGAAAUAAGAAGAAAAAAGAAGAAAAGGGUUAAUCGGAGCUUACCUUAGGAAUCCAAUUCACGAAAACCCAAUUUCGCAGAAUCAAAAGGCAAUUUUUCAUAUAUAGAUAAAAAAAACCUCAAUCCUUGAAAAUGGUGUUCUUCAAACUGGGAUGGCAAUAGCGAUUGAGACUGAAUAUUAUGAUAGCUUGUGCAAUCGAGGCUAAAUAUUGUGAUAGUGUGUGCAAUCGAAGCUAAAUAUUGUGAUAGUGUGUGCAAUCGGAGCUGAGCAUCAGAGCUGAUGUUGUGCAACAUAAAUUGUGACAUUGUGUAUACGUACCUCACUUCAAAUUGUCCGAAUCGGAGCUGAAUGUUGUUCGACCUAAAUUUUUAUAUUGUUUACCUCACUUCGAGAUGUGCGAUAGUGUGUAUCACAAUUAAUCGAUAGUCCAACACUUCUGGUGGACGAUAAGCAUCGGACCCUUUCCCCUCCCGGCGGUAGUGGUGCCUCUGCUGCUGAAGGCGGUUCCCUUUUGAUCACCUCUUCUUCGUCGGCAGAGGAUCACUUCUUCUUCUUCCUCUCCAUUGUUAAAAUUUAUAGUAUAAAUAUUACUUUUGAUUAUUCAUUAAAGAACAGUAGAAAUGUUGACAAUAAAGAAGAGGGCGCGUAUAAUAGUUUCAAACCCUAGACAAAGUUGUUCAAAAAAUCCACUUUAUUGUGAAAGUGUGUGGUUAUGCCAUUUUUGAGUUGAAUGUUUUUUUAGAGUUGAGGGUUUUCUGAACUGAAAGGAUUAUGUUUAUAGAUUUAAGUUUGUAUGCUUUAUGAUUUUUUUUUGGGUAAUUA